Molecule: unclassified non-coding RNA, 541 nt
Filed under: Hevea brasiliensis (rubber tree)
Lineage: Eukaryota; Viridiplantae; Streptophyta; Magnoliopsida; Malpighiales; Euphorbiaceae
Source: RNAcentral
CACCACCACUACUACGGUCACAAUCCCUAGCUAAAUGUCCAGCAGCACCACAGUUAUAACACCCGCCUCUGCCACCUCCUCCACCUCCACUGUUGCGAUCACAGUCCCUAGCCAAAUGUCCCGUCCUUCCACAGUUAUAACACUCACCGGCGCUACGAUACCCACCAUCAUUGCCGUUCCUCCGAUAACCACCAUCAUCACCACCAUAACCGUAACCCCCACCCCCACGACUGUUACUAUUUCCCCUGCCAUUGCGGCCACUAUCGAGAGGAGCGCCAUCGGGCCCAGUGACAUCAAUAGCCUGGUACUUAUCUCCCUUCACAGUCAUGGUGAACUCCACUUUCUGGCCUUCGUAGAGAGAACGGUAGCCAUCAGAUUUGAUCUCUGAUUGAUGAACGAACAGAUCUUCGGAUCCAUCAUCAGGUUUGAUGAAACCGUAACCCUUUGGGUUACUGAACUUAGAAACUGUUCCUGUCAUUCUGGAUGCCUCCACCGCCAUUCCUAACCAAUCUAUUGAUCGGAACUCCGCAAAACCCUUGAG